AGAGAAGCACGGAGUCAUUUGACUCUGUCCACAGGCCACUCACAUGGACAGAGAAACUGGGUCUGCUAGCUACAAGCCCCUGGAGGGUUCUAAGUCGCUGACUCUAGGUCACCCCACACAGAGAAAGCAAGUCCCUGGUCACUCUAGCUGCUUCAGCAAUCAGCUGGGAAAAGAGUCAAACUUAUUUCUUUUCUGACUAUUCACGGCUAAACAGGCAGACAAAGGCAACUUCAGCCAAACAGGAAGAAGGCACGUACGCUCAAGUAUACCCCAUCUGAGGCUGCAGCGGGACUGAGUGAGGACACUCAUCCAUCGUCCCACCUCUGCCCAAUGGCCAAGGACACAAAAGCAAAGUGUGGCAUCCUCGGGAAUUGCACCCUGCAGGGAGAGACGGUGGAUCCAGGAGGGGCUUUCAUCAGCAUCUUAGCCGUGAUUCCAACUGAGUGGCAGCGUUCUACAGUUUUCCUUCCCUUUGGAUAUUUUUCUUGGUUAUUUGAUGAUAAGCCUAAACUAUUUAAUAAUUGGGAAAGAAAUAUAA
Molecule: long non-coding RNA, 538 nt
Organism: Mesocricetus auratus (golden hamster)
Lineage: Eukaryota; Metazoa; Chordata; Mammalia; Rodentia; Cricetidae
Exons: 2
Source: RefSeq, a predicted model, not a curated record